Molecule: ribosomal RNA, 193 nt
Filed under: uncultured bacterium
Lineage: Bacteria
Description: partial 16S ribosomal RNA
Rfam family: Bacterial small subunit ribosomal RNA
Source: RNAcentral
GAAGUCUGCAACCCGACUUCGUGAAGCUGGAUUCGCUAGUAAUCGCGCAUCAGCCACGGCGCGGUGAAUACGUUCCCGGGCCUUGUACACACCGCCCGUCAAGCCAUGGGAGCCGGGGGUACCUGAAGUACGUAACCGCAAGGAGCGUCCUAGGGUAAAACUGGUGACUGGGGCUAAGUCGUAACAAGGUAGC